GUGUGGGGGGUGUAGGGGGCGCUGAGGGGCGGCAGGAACCCGGGCAGGGGAAGGUCGACCUCUGGAAGUGGAACGCGGGUCUCCACGCAGAUUCCUGUCCAGUGACUGUGGUGAAUGCGGAUUUCUUUCUUUUUUUCUUCAGAAAAGGUUCUUAAGGCCUCCCCAGGAGAUGCUGUUGCCAUGCUUUCUUACAGCUUGCAAAACAGAACCCUGUGGAGGAGACAGAUAUUUGUCAGCGAAACUGAGUUAGGAAAGGAUGAAGAGAGCUGAGGAAAUCAGUCACGCACGCUAACGUAGAGGCUGCAAAUAGAGAACAGUCUGCAAAAACUUGACAAUCACAUAAAGCAUGCUUUCUGGGAAUGGCACCAAGAUACUAACUAAUAUCCAGUCCUAAAUAUGAAUAUGCCAGGCUGGAGUGGAGUGGUACGAUCUCAGCUCACUGCAGCCUGCUAAUUUUUUUGUAUUUUUAGUAGAGAUGGGUUUCACCAUAUUGGCCAGGAUGGUCUCAAUCUCCUGACUUC
Cebus imitator (Panamanian white-faced capuchin) is the source of this 521-nucleotide long non-coding RNA. RefSeq lists it as uncharacterized. NCBI's taxonomy places the organism in Eukaryota, Metazoa, Chordata, Mammalia, Primates, Cebidae. The transcript is spliced from 4 exons. The record is from RefSeq and is a predicted model, not a curated record.